Long non-coding RNA from Grammomys surdaster, 294 nucleotides. RefSeq lists it as uncharacterized. Lineage: Eukaryota; Metazoa; Chordata; Mammalia; Rodentia; Muridae. The record is from RefSeq and is a predicted model, not a curated record. The transcript is spliced from 4 exons.
AGCUGACUCAUGGAGGCUUUCAGAAGAUGUGGAAAGGGACCUGAGUCUCCACGUCUCACUGGCUGCACUGUCAUGGUGACCCUAUGCCAACAUCCAGUCUAGAACAGAAAACUGCCUCUGUCACAGACUUAGCCUGGCCCUGUGUUUGCAUCACCCACAAGAAAGGACCUAAGGUACCCCACUCAAUUUGAAAGAAGAUGAUGAGUAUCAAAACCCAGCAUUUGGAGUUACUUCACUGAUGACAAGCUAGCCACUGAGCAAAGAAAAUGCCCUACCUUCAUCUGCAGACAGAAU